Long non-coding RNA from Pogoniulus pusillus (Red-fronted tinkerbird), 1692 nucleotides. RefSeq lists it as uncharacterized. The transcript is spliced from 7 exons. Lineage: Eukaryota; Metazoa; Chordata; Aves; Piciformes; Lybiidae. The record is from RefSeq and is a predicted model, not a curated record.
UCCGGGCAAGGUGGGGUGGGCGCUCGCGCUCACCAGCGCCUGUGCGCUGGCGCUGAUGAGCCGAGUGAGCGCUACCACUUAAGCAGGAGUGGGGGGGUAGAGGCGACAGCCUUUAAAUAACGACCGAAAUAUUUGCUGGCCCUUUGGGUGAGGAAGGCACUCACUGGGCUUCGAUGAUGGAAAAUUCCUGACAUAAAGUGACUUGACUUCGUUUCGCGGCAGCGACUGAGACUGGAUUUUACCUCUUCAGACAGAGCCGGGGGGCGCGGGGACAGUGGUUUCCCCGGCUCUGUGUGUGUGUGUGUACGGCCCAGGGAGGCGGAGCGCCCGGCCCCCUGCCUCGCGCGCCGCUCAUUUGCAUUGACGCAUGGCCGCGCGCCAUGGGCGGGCGGGCUGAGGGCGAGGAGGCAGCAGCGCUGUGGGUGUCGAGGCGCAGCUGAGGGAGUUUCCUCUCAUGGCUCGCCCGGCGCUCUGCUACCGGUAUGCCGUAGCCGGCUGCUGCAGUGGGGCUGGUCGGCAUAGUCUGGGGCUUUCUAGUUCCUUUGACGUCUGCUCGGUCCGUGUGAGGCUGGAGAGGCAGCCCCAGGGUGGCAAAAGCUGUGGCUUCCCGUUCCUUAUGUGAUAACGAUGCAGUGGCACACCUGGCCUUGUGGAGAGAUCCCAGGUGAAGCUGGGUCAGUCACUCAUUUUUCUCCACCCAAGUACUUCCAUUAAGCCAUAUCACUCAUUGGCCCCUCAGUGAUCCACAAAAGCUCAGACCAAGCACAUACUGAGGUGUGGUGACACGUCAUGUUGCCUCCUGAGGAACUCUGCAGCUGCUGUCAUUUACAAGUGGCAAAAAAUAAAGAGUGCAGACCAAAGCCAUACAGAUCGUGGCUUUAAGGUGCUGCAAUCAUUCAUCAAGGCAACAGUUCAAAGCUACCAAUUUGAAGAAAAGAGUUUGCUCUGUAGCAGAAGAAAAUGAAGAAUUCAAGGCCCCGCUGGCCUCAACAGGACUUAACAAUUCAUCUAACAUCCCUUCUGAACAAGGAUACUUUCCUGGAGUUGAUUUUAACAGAGAAGCUCACUAACUCCUUUUGCUAAUGCUCUUUGAGUCCUACCUCUUCUGCAACGCUUCUGCGGAGCUGACUGUGCUUUAGGCAGGAAAGGAAUAAAGGCUUGUUGAUGGCUAGCUGAUGGAUGAGUCCCCUCAGUAUGAGAGACAGAUGAACUGAGGAACAUCAAUGCAAUAUGAAGAACAUGAUGGAAAGAACACAAAGAAUGGAAAUCAUUGAGCCAUGAUUUUUAUGUUCUUUCCUGGAAACUGCCCAAGCUGGGAUUAUACUCAAACUGGCUAACAUCAAGAGAGGGUUUAGCUCCGUCAGCUAGGCAACUGCAAUUUCCAACAUGUCCAAGGGUGGCUGUUCUGCUGCUGCUGCUGCUGCUGCUGCUGCUGCUGAAGAUUUCAGGUCUUUCUUGCAGAAGAUGCAAACAGACUAGCAUUCCUCAGCCUAGAGAAGAAGAUGUCUAGAGUCUAUAAAAUCCUGGAAGAAAAGAAGAAAGUAUAAAAUGGAGGAUUGUUCACUGUCCCUGAUAAGGUAGACAAACAUCUUCUGACAAGGUUUCGAGGCCUCAGCUGACUUCCAUAGCUCCCCCAGCUGGGUUCUUACAUCUUCAAGUCUGGGAUUACUACUGCUCUUAUAUCCUCCUUCC